RNAcentral lists this microRNA precursor (46 nucleotides) under Piliocolobus tephrosceles (Ugandan red Colobus). RNAcentral's name for it is "miRNA (ENSPTEG00000039414.1)". Lineage: Eukaryota; Metazoa; Chordata; Mammalia; Primates; Cercopithecidae. The record is from RNAcentral.
UGCUGUGACCCUCUAGAGGGAAGCACUUUCUGUUGUCUGAAAGAAA